GGGUGUAGCUUAGGGGUAGAGUGUCUGCUUUGCAAGUGUGAGGUCCUGGGUUGAAUCCCCAGCUCCA
This 67-nucleotide transfer RNA is filed under the name Marmota monax (woodchuck). Its description in RNAcentral is "tRNA.Ala". The record is from RNAcentral. Lineage: Eukaryota; Metazoa; Chordata; Mammalia; Rodentia; Sciuridae.